This is an RNA transcript of Solanum tuberosum (potato), 1790 nucleotides long. It is a transcript of the gene named tRNA wybutosine-synthesizing protein 4, with no coding region annotated. The transcript is spliced from 14 exons. Lineage: Eukaryota; Viridiplantae; Streptophyta; Magnoliopsida; Solanales; Solanaceae. The record is from RefSeq and is a predicted model, not a curated record.
AGUAAGUACAAGGAUCAAAUCCUCCGCCCAAAUUCUGUUCCCCAUUUUCAAAGCUCUGUUUCAGAGAGUAUCAAAACUUGGCCAAGAGAAUGGCGAAACCGGUUACCGAUUCGCGCAGCAACAGAGCCGCCGUUCAAGCCACCAACGACGACGCUUCCGCCAGUAAACUGUCAUGCGUGAAAAAAGGAUAUAUGAAAGAUGAUUAUGUUCAUCUGUUUGUUAAAAAGCAGCUGAGGCGAGCUCCGAUUAUUAAUCGUGGUUAUUUUGCCCGCUGGGCUGCUCUUCGAAAGAUGCUCAAUCAAUUUCUUGAUUGUGAGCCGAAUGCUGAUGGAAAUGGAAAUAUCAGGAAGCAGAUACUGUCACUUGGAGCUGGCUUCGACACGAUGUUCUUUCAGUUGCAGGAUGAAGGAAAAGCUCCUCAUCUUUACGUGGAACUGGAUUUCAUUGAGGUAACAAGUAAGAAGGCAGCUCUUAUUGAAACCUACAGUCAGUUAAGGGAUAAAGUUGGUGAAACAGCAUCAAUAUCCUCAGAAAAGGGGGAAGUCCAUAGUGAUCAUUACAAAUUGCUGCCUGUAGAUUUGCGCAACAUAGAAAAUUUGAAUGAUAUUAUAGCCCAAGCAAAUUUAGACCCCAGUUUGCCAACAUUUAUAAUUGCAGAAUGCGUUCUUAUAUAUUUGGAUCCUGAUUCAAGCCGUGCUAUUGUUGGAUGGGCUUCAAGAACCUUUUCCACAUCAAUAUUUUUCUUGUAUGAGCAGAUCCACCCAGAUGAUGCUUUCGGUCAGCAAAUGAUUCGGAAUUUGGAGAGCCGAGGUUGCGGACUAUUAGGAAUAUAUGCUACACCAACUUUACAAGAGAAAGAAAAUCUUUUUCUUGAUCAAGGAUGGCAGAAAGCAGUUGCUUGGGACAUGCUACAGGUUUAUAGUGAUUUUAUUGAAGCUCAAGAAAGACGCAGGCUUUGCAAACUGCCUUUUUAGCCUCUCUGAGAUUUCUUGUACUCUUCAAAGGUUUCACCAUCUUCUGCUUUCGGAUUGAAAGAUUGGAAAUAUUUGAUGAAUUUGAAGAGUGGUAUAUGAUGCAGGAGCACUAUUGUGUUACAUAUGCAAUCAAUGAUGCUAUGGGUUUGUUCAAGGAAUUUGGUUUUCCUAAAACACAUCCUACAACAAAUACCUCCAUUGCAACAUCCACAUGAGAAGAGGAUCCUAUCUUUAGACAAAAUCACUCUUUCCAAUCUCAGGUCAUCAGAAUAUGAAUGGAAAGCUUCUUACCAGUUGUCAACUGUCAGGAUUAGAAGGGUUUCAGGUACUGAAAGGGUCUCAACCAGUUCUGGCUCCUAAUUAGGUGCAUUAGGGACGAUCUUAGUGUGAAUGCAUGUAUACAUAUAUUUGUUUCGACGUAAAGGGGAAGAUCUUCUCCGGAUAUUUUUUAUUUUUAUUUUAUAUAAUGUUGGACUGAAAUGAGUUUGAGCGGCGCGUGCAAUGAGAGUUCAUAUAGCCGAACCCAGCUUGUUUCGGAUUGAGGUGGAGUUGAUGUUUGAUUAUGAAAGGGUAGAUCCUCUUUUGCUAGCUGUUUGGCAAAAUCUAAAACGUGGUAGGGCCUAUGAGAAGGGAAUUGUGUUGUUUUUGGCCCUUGUUGGGUGGGGAAACACUUGCAUGGUUGUUGUCUCCUUUUUUCUAUUAGAUAUAUUAGAUACUCUUCUCUUUCUUUAUAUCUAUUUGCAUCAUCCUUUUGUAUUUAAUUUGACUAUUGUACCACCGAAUUGGUAGAUAUGAUAACUCAAUGCUUCAUCAUGA